GAUGAACGCUGGCGGCGUGCUUAACACAUGCAAGUCGAACGAAGCACUUUAAUCGAUUUCUUCGGAUUGAAAUUUUAGUGACUGAGUGGCGGACGGGUGAGUAACGCGUGGGUAACCUGCCUCACACAGGGGGAUAACAGUUGGAAACGGCUGCUAAUACCGCAUAAGCGCACAGUACCGCAUGGUACAGUGUGAAAAACUCCGGUGGUGUGAGAUGGACCCGNGUCUGAUUAGCUAGUUGGCAGGGCAACGGCCUACCAAGGCGACGAUCAGUAGCCGACCUGAGAGGGUGACCGGCCACAUUGGGACUGAGACACGGCCCAAACUCCUACGGGAGCAGCAGUGGGGAAUAUUGCACAAUGGGGGAAACCCUGAUGCAGCGACGCCGCGUGAGCGAAGAAG
RNAcentral lists this ribosomal RNA (402 nucleotides) under uncultured bacterium. RNAcentral describes it as "bacterial SSU rRNA". It matches the Rfam family "Bacterial small subunit ribosomal RNA", at positions 28 to 413 of the family's 1533-position model. The record is from RNAcentral.